AAGAGAGUGGCCUGGGCAAAUAGUUUUUUGUCUAUCCCAAACUUUCUGGACAAUGCAAGUACAGAUGGCUAUUAGAAAUGGUCAAGGGCACUAGAGGAUUUUCUGGAACAGAAUAAUAGGUUGAGGACGUUGCCACCUUGGUGCGAGGAAAGCUGUCUAAGCAGAAUCGAGUGACUGCAGGAGCACUUGUUGUGCUUGAUGUUCAUGCUAGGAAUGUUCUUGCAUCUCCAGUAAGCAAAAAAGUCAAAGAUGAGAGUGACUUUGAAUGGUUAAGUCAGCUUAGGUGCUACUGGGAGUUGAGUGAUACCUCUCAAUCCUAUUAGAAGAGUGACAAAAAUGUUGCAUCCAAAAAGCUGAAGUUGAAUCAAGAUGAAGGAAAAUUAAAGAUUGCUAUUGGUCUGAGAAAGAAAGAAGCAGACCUCAGGGAGGUUCAAGAUAAAUUGCUGUACUCCACCAGACAUGGGAAUCCGAGAAGGAAAGAGAAGACUGACUUGGAAAUCAGGUAUAUGAUACAAAAGGUGAACUAUUGUUCUACUGAUACCCAGAAAAGUUAUUUAAAAUUUGUUUCUCUGUCAAAUGGUAUUUUCCCUUUUAAUUGCCAAUAUGUGGAACAAGUCCUACUUUUAGCUAACCAUCAUUUUAUUUUGGUGUAAUGGUCCUAAACUUAUAAGUGGGCAAAGCAUGAAAAAUAAAUUCUUUAGAGUAAUAGAAAAUAUAUAUGUUAUUAAUUUACCAACUGAUAUCCCUCUCCUACAUCCUCACUCAUAUCUGUUUUCUUGUGGGGAGAUAAAUUUUCAAUGAUUUUACUAAAUGUUUGGAUUCAUCUAUUAACUCGUAAGUUAGCACGUUAUAAGUUUUUAAAGUUUAUUUAUGCCUUCUGUGCUAAUGCAAUUCUGAGACUGUUUUUGGUAAGCCCUAUUCCUAACUGGUAAUUAGGUGCUUAUGUGUGCAAAAAUUGGCAACAUUUGGAAGAAAAUUUUAUUUUAUUUAUUUAUUUAUUUAUUUUUAAGAUUUGCAGUACAUCAGAUUUCUU
This is a long non-coding RNA of Corapipo altera (White-ruffed manakin), 1033 nucleotides long. RefSeq lists it as uncharacterized. The record is from RefSeq and is a predicted model, not a curated record. NCBI's taxonomy places the organism in Eukaryota, Metazoa, Chordata, Aves, Passeriformes, Pipridae. The transcript is spliced from 3 exons.